GACAUCUCAUCCAUGAUGUUGUGGUGAGCGGUGGGGGAAAGGAAGGCAUGGCCGAGGUGGAGCUGGUUCGCCGCCGGCAGGAGCAGGCCGCGCAUGUUGACGGAGAGGAGGUUGGUGCAGUGUCCGCAUCUGACUGUCACCGUCUUAAAGAGACUGCUGCAAGGGACACUCACCGCUAGGACGGUGUCGCAAAAGUUGCAGUGGACAUAGCAGAGCUGCUCGGAGG
RNAcentral lists this unclassified non-coding RNA (226 nucleotides) under Hevea brasiliensis (rubber tree). Lineage: Eukaryota; Viridiplantae; Streptophyta; Magnoliopsida; Malpighiales; Euphorbiaceae. The record is from RNAcentral.